UGGGGAAUUUUGCGCAAUGGGGGCAACCCUGACGCAGCAACGCCGCGUGCGGGACGACCGCCUUCGGGUUGUAAACCGCUUUCAGCAGGGAAGAAAUUCGACGGUACCUGCAGAAGAAGCUCCGGCUAACUACGUGCCAGCAGCCGCGGUAAUACGUAGGGAGCGAGCGUUAUCCGGAUUCAUUGGGCGUAAAGAGCGCGUAGGCGGCCUCUCAAGCGGGAUCUCUAAUCCGAGGGCUCAACCCCCGGCCGGAUCCCGAACUGGGAGGCUAGAGAUCGGUAGAGGCAGGCGGAAUUCCCGGUGUAGCGGUGGAAUGCGCAGAUAUCGGGAAGAACACCGAUGGCGAAGGCAGCCUGCUGGGCCGCAACUGACGCUGAGGCGCGAAAGCUAGGGGAGCGAACAGG
RNAcentral lists this ribosomal RNA (404 nucleotides) under bacterium. RNAcentral describes it as "partial 16S ribosomal RNA". It matches the Rfam family "Bacterial small subunit ribosomal RNA", at positions 355 to 776 of the family's 1533-position model. The record is from RNAcentral.